Molecule: long non-coding RNA, 535 nt
Filed under: Mytilus galloprovincialis (Mediterranean mussel)
Lineage: Eukaryota; Metazoa; Mollusca; Bivalvia; Mytilida; Mytilidae
Source: RNAcentral
CUUAAAAUCCUGUUGGCAGAAGGAAUAGCUGAAAUGAUUGUGUGUGUCCACUUGUAUUUAACAAUAACUAUAGACAUAAUUAUCUAUUUAAUUUAUAAGUGGACACCUAUCAUUAUUGGAUAUAUUCUUACUUGUAGUUUUUCUUGUUGUGAAUAGCUAUAAAAAGACAAAUCAUUCAAUGAAUUUGCACAGUUUGCAUAAAAACUAAGACAUGCACUUUAUUCCCUGAGACCACAGAAAGGAAAGAAGAUGUUGAAUAGUUCUAAACAAUUCUCACAAGUUCAAAGUAGUUUUUAUUUAACGACCAACCAAUGUUAAACCCUUCUUGAAAGUAGUACAUAUAUCUAGGAAGAGUGAAGACAUUAUUAGAUCCAAUGUGUGUUCAGAAUGAUCGCAAUAUUUACGAAAAUAAAAAGAUGCUGCAUGACUGCUAACCAGACAACUAUCCACAAAAAACAAAGGUCCUUGAUUAUAUAUACAUAUAUGUUAUAUAAAUGUAUAUAUUACCCUCAUAAACCAUUACUUAAUACUUUUU